UGACGCAUACCGAACUAAAGUAGGGAAAUGUGUGAGCCGGCUGCCGAGAAAAGCCGCUAUUGUUUGUACUGUACCCGUACCGUAAGCCGACACAGGUGGAUGAGGAGAGAAUCCUAAGGCCGACGGAAGAAGCAUUGCUAAGGAACUCGGCAAAAUGACCCUGUAACUUCGGGAGAAAGGGUGCCUCGAAAGAGGCCGCAGAGAAUAGGCCCAAGCAACUGUUUAGCAAAAACACAGGUCUAUGCAAAACCGCAAGGUGAAGUAUAUGGGCUGACGCCUGCCCGGUGCUGGAAGGUUAAGGGGAGAUGUCAGGAGACGAAGCAUCGAACUUAAGCCCCAGUAAACGGCGGCCGUAACGAUAACGGUCCUAAGGUAGCGAAAUUCCUUGUCGGGUAAGUUCCGACCCGCACGAAAGGCGUAAUGAUUUGGGCGCUGUCUCGGCAAUGCAUCCGGUGAAAUUGAAGUGCCAGUGAAGAUGCUGGCUACCCGCGCCAGGACGGAAAGACCCCAUGGAGCUUUACUCCAGCUUGAUACUGGGAUUCGGUAUUGUAUGUACAGGAUAGGUGGGAGGCUGAGAAAUGGUGACGCCAGUCGCCAUGGAGCCGCUGUUGGGAUACCACCCUUGCAGUACUGGAUUUCUAACCAGCAGCCGUGAUCCGGCUGGGGGACAAUGUCAGGUGGGGAGUUUGACUGGGGCGGUCGCCUCCGAAAGGGUAUCGGAGGCGCUCAAAGGUUCCCUCAGAAUGGUCGGAAACCAUUCGAAGAGUGCAAAGGCAGAAGGGAGCUUGACUGCGACACCGACGGGUGGGGCAGGUACGAAAGUAGGACUUAGUGAUCCGGUGGUAUUAAGUGGGAAUGCCAUCGCUCAACGGAUAAAAGCUACCCUGGAUAACAGGCUUAUCACUCCCAAGAGUUCACAUCGACGGAGUGGUUUGGCACCUCGAUGUCGGCUCAUCGCAUCCUGGGGCUGUAGUAGGUCCCAAGGGUUGGGCUGUUCGCCCAUUAAAGCGGUACGCGAGCUGGGUUCAGAACGUCGUGAGACAGUUCGGUCCCUAUCCGGCGUGGGCGUAGGAUAUUUGAGAGGAGCUGACCUUAGUACGAGAGGACCGGGUUGGACUGACCUCUGGUGCACCGGUUGUCAUGCCAAUGGCACAGCCGGGUAGCCAAGUCGGGAAGGGAUAAACGCUGAAGGCAUCUAAGCGUGAAGCCCCCCUCAAGAUGAGAUAUCCCCCGCAUAAGCGGUAAGACCCCUUGAAGACGACGAGGUAGAUAGGGCAGAGGUGGAAGUGCAGUAAUGUAUGGAGCUGACUGCUACUAAUAGGUCGAAGGCGAA
This 1333-nucleotide ribosomal RNA is filed under the name metagenome. RNAcentral describes it as "bacterial LSU rRNA". It matches the Rfam family "Bacterial large subunit ribosomal RNA", at positions 1564 to 2925 of the family's 2925-position model. The record is from RNAcentral.